GUGCUUGCUUCAGCAGCACAUAUAUUGAAAUUGGAAUGAUAUGGAGAAGGUUAGCAUUGGCUCCUGCUGAAGGAUGACAUGCAAAUUCAUAAAGUGUUCCAUAUUUUU
Molecule: non-coding RNA, 108 nt
Organism: Canis lupus familiaris (dog)
Lineage: Eukaryota; Metazoa; Chordata; Mammalia; Carnivora; Canidae
Source: Rfam